CAAAAGUUCAGAAGACUCUGAGGCAGCAGCAGAGGAGGGAGCAGAUUUCCAGCAUCGUCUGCCUCGCUGAUUUUGACAAUCAGCCAAUGGUGAAACAGCUAAUACUCGAAAUUAUUUUCUAUGUUCUCACGGCAGCAACUACAUGCGUGGUCUUGACAACUCCCAGAUGUCCUCCGGUCAGUCGCCAAGCCUUGGCUUGCUCAGCACGAAUUCCAGCUCCUGUUUAAUGCGCUAGGAAGUACAACUAGCAGUCAAUCAGCAACUUUCUGAUGUCCACUCUCUGGCCAAGGAAAUGCGUUCCUGGAUCUGUCAUUUCCGCUGGUUGUUAUCUUGCUCCAAUUUCGUGACUAAGAUAUUCUUUGAAGCAAACUUCAAAUUUCCCUAUUCUUCUAUCAUAUAAACUUUGACUUGAACCAUGAGUUGGAUUUCACAGUCACAUGUAGGCGUAGAAGUAUCACAAGCCUGAAGAGUGCACAGGAACUAGAGUCAGAGAUUGGAGAGAGAGAACUGAGCCCUAACUCAGCUCCUGAACAGGUGAGGAGCACCAGUGCCUGAGAUCGGCCAUCCCAUGUUGCAGAAAGCAGUCCCAAAAGGCUUCCUGAGAAGUGACACCUGAGUUGACUGGUAGAGGGGAGGCAGCUUUUAUUUACUCAGAGGAAAUAUAUGCAAAACCAAGACAGGAGUCUGCUUUCUGUUUUGCUUUGUUUCUUGGAGUUGCAAUACAUUUAUAGUGCCUAAAAUAUAAGGUACAGUGUGGGAUUGCGAGAAGAAAAGCCAUGCUUAUGUUAUAAGU
Molecule: long non-coding RNA, 793 nt
Organism: Heterocephalus glaber (naked mole-rat)
Lineage: Eukaryota; Metazoa; Chordata; Mammalia; Rodentia; Bathyergidae
Source: RefSeq, a predicted model, not a curated record